Small nucleolar RNA from Plectropomus leopardus (leopard coralgrouper), 89 nucleotides. RefSeq annotates it as small nucleolar RNA SNORD70. Lineage: Eukaryota; Metazoa; Chordata; Actinopteri; Perciformes; Serranidae. The record is from RefSeq and is a predicted model, not a curated record.
GAUCUGUGGUCUGUGAUGUGUUUCUGUGUCCGAUGAAAACAUGAGGCAUUUCUCACAGUAUUCGUCACUACCACUGAGACCACGGUGUC